This 678-nucleotide ribosomal RNA is filed under the name Tetradesmus obliquus. RNAcentral's name for it is "eukaryotic LSU rRNA". The stretch from base 224 to 377 matches the Rfam family "5.8S ribosomal RNA". The record is from RNAcentral. Lineage: Eukaryota; Viridiplantae; Chlorophyta; Chlorophyceae; Sphaeropleales; Scenedesmaceae.
GCGGAGGCUCAUUGAUUAUUAAAACCACAAUGUGAACCUAUCUGUUCCGUGCCUUAGCUGCCAGCAGGGCAAUCGGGCUUUGUCCGAUUGUGCUUGCAAGCUGGUGCGAGUAUUAUUACUUGCAUCAGUGGCGCUUUGGCAUGCUUAUACACCAGUGCUAACCACUGUCAAAACCAAACUCUGAAGCUUUGAUUGCUGUUAAUUGGCAAUCUUAACCAAAGACAACUCUCAACAACGGAUAUCUUGGCUCUCGCAACGAUGAAGAACGCAGCGAAAUGCGAUACGUAGUGUGAAUUGCAGAAUUCCGUGAACCAUCGAAUCUUUGAACGCAUAUUGCGCUCGAGCCCUCGGGCAAGAGCAUGUCUGCCUCAGCGUCGGUUUAUACCCUCACCCCUCUCUCCUUUUGGAGGGCUGGUCAGCUCUCAGUUGGCCUCAGGGGUGGAUCUGGCUUUCCCAAUUGGUUCACUCCGAUUGGGUUGGCUGAAGCUUAGAGGCUUAAGCAAGGACCCGAUAUGGGCUUCAACUGGAUAGGUAGCACCGGCUUCUGCCGACUACACGAAGUUGUGGCUUGUGGACUUUGCUAGAGGCCAAGCAGGAAACAUGCUUUGCAUGUCUUAAACUUUCGACCUGAGCUCAGGCAAGGCUACCCGCUGAACUUAAGCAUAUCAAUAAGCGGAG